UUAAGCAUAUCAAUAAGCGGAGGAAAAGAAACUAACAAGGAUUCCCCUAGUAACUGCGAGUGAAGAGGGAAAAGCUCAAAUUUAAAAUCUGGCAGUUAUUYGCUGUCCGAGUUGUAAAUUGGAGAAGUGUUAUCCGCGCUGGCCUGUGCAUAAGUCUCUUGGAAAAGAGCAUCAUAGAGGGUGACAAUCCCGUCUUUGGCACAGACUACCAGGGCUUUUGUGAUGCGCUCUCAACGAGUCGAGUUGUUUGGGAAUGCAGCUCCAAAUGGGUGGUAAAUUCCAUCUAAAGCUAAAUAUUGGCGAGAGACCGAUAGCGCACAAGUACCGUGAGGGAAAGAUGAAAAGAACUUUGGAAAGAGAGUUAAACAGUACGUGAAAUUGUUGAAAGGGAAACGCUUGAAGUCAGUCAUGUCUCACUGAAAUCAACCUGGCACUUGUCUGGUGUACUUUCUGUGGGACAGGUCAGCAUCAGUUCUGAUUGCUGGAAAAAGGCCUUGGGAAUGUGACAUCUUUUCGAAGAUGUGUUAUAGCCCUUGGAUCACAUACAGUGGUUGGGACUGAGGAACUCGAUGUGUGGUGUGCUCUGGGGUUUCGGUCCUGGAGUCAUGCAUUCAAGGAUGCUGGCAUAAUGGCUUUAAUCGACCCGUCUUGAAACACGGACCAAGGAGUCUAACAUGCAUGCGAGUGU
Molecule: ribosomal RNA, 688 nt
Filed under: Clavaria fragilis
Lineage: Eukaryota; Fungi; Basidiomycota; Agaricomycetes; Agaricales; Clavariaceae
Also listed under: 1 other name
Description: LSU rRNA
Rfam family: Eukaryotic large subunit ribosomal RNA
Source: RNAcentral